AAGACUUUUUGGUGGAUUUGGGU
Molecule: non-coding RNA, 23 nt
Filed under: Arabidopsis thaliana (thale cress)
Lineage: Eukaryota; Viridiplantae; Streptophyta; Magnoliopsida; Brassicales; Brassicaceae
Source: RNAcentral